GAAAGAGGCCUGAAGCAAUAGAGACUGCUAAUCCCUAUAACCACGGUUAAAUUCCGUGGCUCAUUCAA
RNAcentral lists this transfer RNA (68 nucleotides) under Noturus gyrinus (tadpole madtom). Its description in RNAcentral is "tRNA-Ser". Lineage: Eukaryota; Metazoa; Chordata; Actinopteri; Siluriformes; Ictaluridae. The record is from RNAcentral.